UACGUAGGGGGCAAGCGUUUUCCGGAUUUACUGGGCGUAAAGCGCGUGUAGGCGGCCACGCAGGUCCGUUGUGAAAACUGGAGGCUUAACCUCCAGACGUCGACGGAAACCGUGUGGCUAGAGUCCGGAAGGGGAGAGUGGAAUUCCUGGUGUAGCGGUGAAAUGCGCAGAUAUCAGGAAGAACACCAAUGGCGAAGGCAGCUCUCUGGGACGGUACUGACGCUGAGACGCGAAAGCGUGGGGAGCGAACAGG
RNAcentral lists this ribosomal RNA (253 nucleotides) under uncultured bacterium. RNAcentral describes it as "partial 16S ribosomal RNA". It matches the Rfam family "Bacterial small subunit ribosomal RNA", at positions 524 to 776 of the family's 1533-position model. The record is from RNAcentral.